AACGAACGCUGGCGGCAGGCUUAACACAUGCAAGUCGAGCGCCCCGCAAGGGGAGCGGCAGACGGGUGAGUAACGCGUGGGAAUCUACCCAUCUCUACGGAACAACUCCGGGAAACUGGAGCUAAUACCGUAUACGUCCUUUUGGAGAAAGAUUUAUCGGAGAUGGAUGAGCCCGCGUUGGAUUAGCUAGUUGGUGGGGUAAUGGCCUACCAAGGCGACGAUCCAUAGCUGGUCUGAGAGGAUGAUCAGCCACACUGGGAAUGAGACACGGCCCAGACUCCUACGGGAGGCAGC
RNAcentral lists this ribosomal RNA (294 nucleotides) under uncultured Mesorhizobium sp. Its description in RNAcentral is "partial 16S ribosomal RNA". It matches the Rfam family "Bacterial small subunit ribosomal RNA", at positions 29 to 352 of the family's 1533-position model. Lineage: Bacteria; Pseudomonadati; Pseudomonadota; Alphaproteobacteria; Hyphomicrobiales; Phyllobacteriaceae. The record is from RNAcentral.